GACGAACGCUGGCGGCGCGCUUAACACAUGCAAGUCGAACGGAAAGGCCUGCUUUCCCUUGUGGAUUGCGGGUACUCGAGUGGCGAACGGGUGAGUAACACGUGAGUGAUCUGCCCCCAACUUGGGUAUAAGCCUGGGAAACUGGGUCUAAUUCCCGAUAGGACUGCAGGGUGGUGCCUGUUGUGGAAAACGAUUUUCUAGUGGUUGGGGAUGAGCUCGCGGCCUAUCAGCUUGUUGGUGGGGUAAUGGCCUACCAAGGCGGCGACGGGUAGCCGGCCUGAGAGGGUGGACGGCCACAUUGGGACUGAGAUACGACCCAGACUCCUACGGGAGGCAGCAGUGGGGAAUAUUGCACAAUGGGCGGAAGCCUGAUGCAGCGACGCCGCGUGGGGGAUGACGGCCUUCGGGUUGUAAACUCCUUUCGACCGCGAGGAAGCCACCUGGUUGGAAGGGUGGUGACGGUAGUGGUAGAAGAAGCACCGGCUAACUACGUG
RNAcentral lists this ribosomal RNA (494 nucleotides) under uncultured bacterium. Its description in RNAcentral is "partial 16S ribosomal RNA". It matches the Rfam family "Bacterial small subunit ribosomal RNA", at positions 28 to 507 of the family's 1533-position model. The record is from RNAcentral.